This 474-nucleotide long non-coding RNA is filed under the name Olea europaea subsp. europaea. Lineage: Eukaryota; Viridiplantae; Streptophyta; Magnoliopsida; Lamiales; Oleaceae. The record is from RNAcentral.
UUUUAGUAAUCCUAUAUAUGUUUUAUGGUAUGAAUUAUGUUAAAUAUUUGGAUCUUAAUAGCUAAUCUUCGGGUUUGCCACCCAGAACAAUCCAAACAGGUACAUAUCUUCCCAGUUAAUGCCAUCAUCAAACACUUCUUAUCGAAUUCAAUGCAAUGGACAAUCAUCACAGUUGUCAACCGCAAGUCUGUUCCCGGUUUAAAUAAAUCAGUGGGAAUCAUCUUUAGGUAGGAAAAGCCAGGAGCCCUAGAGCCGAUGCAGGCCACCUAAUUAAAACCUAGCCGCCACUAAGGGAUGGAAUUAGAGACACAAAAGGCGAAUAAGACUCCAACAAAAGUCGAGUAUUUGGGAGAGACUUUUUGUAUCCCUUUAUUUUAGUCUUCGAUAACUAAAUACUUCUCAGUUAACUCAUCAAACAUAUAGUUUUUCAGGAGAGCUAUGUCAGUCGCAUUAUGCAAGAACUGAAUAUUGAUU